This 253-nucleotide ribosomal RNA is filed under the name uncultured bacterium. Its description in RNAcentral is "partial 16S ribosomal RNA". It matches the Rfam family "Bacterial small subunit ribosomal RNA", at positions 524 to 776 of the family's 1533-position model. The record is from RNAcentral.
UACGUAGGGGGCAAGCGUUGUCCGGAUUUAUUGGGCGUAAAGAGCUCGUAGGCGGUCUGUCACGUCGGCUGUGAAAACCCGGGGCUCAACCCCGGGCCUGCAGUCGAUACGGGCAGACUAGAGUGCGGUAGGGGAGACUGGAAUUCCUGGUGUAGCGGUGAAAUGCGCAGAUAACAGGAGGAACACCGGCGGCGAAGGCGGGUCUCUGGGCCGUAACUGACGCUGAGGAGCGAAAGCGUGGGGAGCAAACAGG